CGAAAAAUGCGUUCAACGCUACUGAUUUGUUAUUGCUUGACUCGAGUAUCGUACGCGAGUCCAUGGCAUCCCGCGAACCCGACGCUCGGAGAGCAAGCGGAUCUGGUGGGAGCGGCGAACGAGAAUUUCAGCCCGAACCAGAUUCGGGCACCCGAAAGUGAUCGGACCAAAGACGCGAUCGAUUUUCCAGACUUCGAUAACGUUUUCAACGCGACGCGCUCUCGAGACCGCGAACCUUUGGACGACGUGGAACGCAUCGAGCCCGGACAAUGGCCCGUCAGACCGGACACGUUCUACACGCAGAGUUCGAUUUCUUCGAGCACAUCGAUCUCGUCGCGAACUCCGUUCGAUUCGCCAACGCUCGCUCAAAGGGAUCCAUCGACGCGGAGGUGCCCCCCGAUGAGCGGAUCACCGCCGGUACUCGCAGCAUCCGUCGACGAAGUUUUCUGCGACUUCAACGCGUUUCCGACGCAAACGCUUUGCGAGUGGCAAAACGGGGACGGCGUCUUAGAUUGGAGAGCAGGUACCGGCAUGGCUACCAAUUGGAUGGGUGGGCCCCCGAGCGAUUACACCACCGGAACCAUGGAAGGAGGGUACGCUUUUUUGGAAACCUCGCAGAUACCGGUGUCGAAGGACGGCAAGGCGAGAACCUUGGGAGGACUGUUGCACAGUCCUCAAUUGGGGAAUACCGGUGUGAGCGGAACCUGCGUCACGUUCAAGUACACGCUGGAUGGACUGAGCGUGGCUGGUUUGAGAGUGUUGAUUCACGCGGGAACGGACGAGUAUUCGAGCAAGAAGGAGGAAACGGAGGCGAUGGGAACCGACAACGGCACGAUACCGUCCUGCAAGCCUUUCGUCGCUGAAACGAUCGGCGAGCGUGUCAUUUGGAACGCCGAGUACUACACCCUCGGCGUUUGGCAGCACGCGCAAGUGCUCUAUACCUAUCCCGAGUUACAUUCGGUGGUCAUCGAGGGCAUUCCCGUGGAUCCCACCGACGCGGCUCGCUUGUACAGAGGAUACGCAGCCGUGGACGACAUAGAUUUGCAACCCGGUACUUCUUGCGUCGGGUUCUGCAACUUCGCGGGCGGGUUUUGCGAUUGGAGCAACGACGCGGAGGAUGAUUUCGACUGGACGAUCAGCCGAGGAAGCGGAAAUCCAACGACCGGGCCGGCCAUGGACAGCUCCAGCGAGCGUUCGACGGCCGGAGGAUACGCGUACAUAGACUCGUCGUAUCCGCGCAGACCAGGAGACAGAGCCAGACUUCUUAGCACGAGUUUCCCCGCCCCGAAUGCCGACGCACCCAUGUGUCUCCACUUUUGGUUCCACAUGUUUGGUACCGGAAUCGGCGCGUUGAAGCUGUUCGUCAGACAUUUUCGUAGCUUGGACGCGCCCCUUCGAGAGAUUUGGGCGUUGAACGGAAACGCUGGGAACACGUGGUUCGUUGCCGAAAUCACCGUCAGCUCCUUGGACGAUUUUCAGCUGGUGUUCGAGGCUUCGGUGGGGAACACUGGAAUGGGCGAUAUCGCCAUCGACGACAUCUCUUUCGCGCAAGGAUCUUGCCCGAUUUCGCCUCAAGUCGCUGCACCGACACCGCGAGACUGCAGCUUCGAAGUCGACGAGUGCGACUGGAUCAACUCCAGAGAUCCUGAUCGUGUUGAAUGGGAACGGGUGUCGUUUCAAGUGCUCGGCUCGAGGAACCAGCGGAAACCGUACAGCAACGGGUAUACGAUCAAUCGGAGAAACGAGUUUUUCCUCGGUCUGGGACGUCCACGGGGAGGGCCGCGGUCGUCCGGAGGCGGAACGGCGCAGCUCGUUAGUCGUGAAAUCAAUGGCAGCGAGGAGUCCGUUUGCAUUACUUUUUGGUAUUUGAUGUUCGAAUCUUUCAUCGAUUCCAGUGGACCGAGCCUGGGAGUGCUUCGGGUAUCGGUGCAGACAACCGGGGAAUCUUCUACCGAGUCCAGGUCGAUUUGGCAGCUUUACAACGAUCAAGGACCCACGUGGAAUUACGCUCAAAUCAGCGUCGCCGAGAAGAGGGACUUCAACGUGGUGUUCGAGGGUACGUGGGGCCCGAAUCGAGCCAGCGGCAGCAUAGGCAUCGACGAUAUUUCCUUUUACACCGGCAAAUGUACAGUGAAACCACCGAGCGCGUCGGCCAGGCCGGAAGACUGCAGCUUCGAGAAAGGACUGUGCGGAUGGGAAAAUAUUACUUUGUCGGACAACGAACGCGCAGUCACUUGGCAGAGCGCUUUUCUUACUCAUCGACCGGCUCAGUUGUUGGACAAGACGUUCGGAGCGACCGGUGAUUUCAUCUUUUUCGAUAUAUUUACGACCAAUCAGAAGUCGACGGAUGUACGGCUGCGAUCACCGAUUGUACAAACAUCGCCGGACGAAGAAUCCGUUUGUUUCACCUUUUGGUUCGCCGCUUUCGGAGUCGAAGAAUCCACCACGCUGCAAGUGAUCAAGAUGAACGCGGAGGAAGAACAAGGCGUUCCGAACGAUACCGGAGCAAACCAGGAGCAAACUCUAUGGUCGUUAACCGCUAAAGGAUUUAAUAAUCCGAGGCCUGUAUGGACGGCAGGACAAGUCACGAUAGACGCGCGUGUACCUUAUCAUCUGAUUUUGCGAGGAAGCGCCAGCAACGGAGGUUUCGCUAUCGACGAUAUUAAAUUCCAGCCUCAAACCUGUACAACUAUUCCUCGUAUGUUCCAUCCCGAAAUAAACGGAAGGAAGGCCCGAACGGAGUCUCGAACGACAACCCCGCGAACAACAACGGAUAUCGUCGCGAGGUUGGGCGCAUCCACUCGCGCGUCCAUCCGACGCUGUUGAAAGCGCCGGAAAUCGGCAUUGACGUUGGAUCGCACGGACGCGUAAAAGAAAUCCCACCUUUUGGACCGAAUGCGAAUAGAUCGGAACGAGGUCGCGAUCGCGAUGGAAGGACGAGUAGGAUGUCUCGCGGAAAAGAAGAUGAGGAAGAAGCGAAAGGAGUUGGAAGAAAAAGGAUCGGUGUUUCGAACGGAGGAUGAACUCGCGUAAAUCGAGCAAGCGGCGAACGAGGGAACGAGAGAACGAGCAAAGGACGAGCAAAGAACCAGUCGGCCAGUCGUCCAGUCACAUGAAUGGAUCCAGAGGACAUGCAGAGUUAGCGAGAUAGAGAGAGAUAGAGAGAGAGAGAGAGAGAGAGAGAGAGAGAAAGAGAGAGAGAAAGAAAGAGAGGGAGAGGGUGAGCGAAACAGAGACGGUGGCAAGGAUGGAAGGAGGUCAAGAGUGGAACGAGGAGAAGCUGGUGAAUGAACGAGAGUCGGAUUCACUAACCUGCCAGUCCACGCAGUCCGGAAACCGACGAGCAACUGACAGAGUUGCCGUCAUCGGGUCGACUAUUCGCCUUCCUUUCCAUCCCCGCUUCCAGCACACCCCUGGCUCUCGUUUCCUCCCUGCCUUUUCCACCCUCCUCUUUCGAGCUCCCUCUCAUCUCCCCGUUGCACCCUCUUUGCAACCACCAGCGUCCUCCCGCCGUUCUCGCCUCACCUCGCCGCCGCCGCUCCAUUCUCUCCCGAUUCUCGCCCUCUCCGUCACCCUCACCGCGUCCUUCCUUCGCUCGCCGUAGGCGCGCCGACGAUCUCGUUGUUUCGGCGAGCGCCGCGAGCAACCGCGUUUCUCUCUCUCUCUCUCUUUCUUAUUUUCCCCCGUUCGUUUCGUCGAGAAAAGUUCUCCGCGCGUUGCGAUCGUUGAGAUCGGAAGAAUCGAUUUCCGAUUUCGCGACAAACUUUUCGUCCGUAUUUCCAUUCGGUUCGAUCGUCUCGGAAAUCGCGUGCCGGAAAUUUUCAUCGGCUUCGCGACAGAGAUUAUGGAAUCGCGAUAAUUGGGCGGAGAGACGAACCGACCGAUCCGGAAGAACGUCGGAAGUCGCGCACGGUUCGUUCGAUGGUUCCUCGACGAUACAAAGUUCGAAGAGAUGGAAAAGAUUUUCGAUCGGUCGAUCGACGCCGUAAAAGGGCGUCGAAGCGCGAGCCAGCCGCCUCUCCGCGCAACAAGUUUCUCUCGAGGACUCGAAAUCGUCGGACUCUCCUCGCGACUUACCCCCGAACCCAGAACACCGAACCGAGCGCUUCCUGCCUUCCGAUAGAAUUUCGAUUUAGGAACGGCUCAUCGACCGACGAGAAUUUUCGUCGAAGCGAAACCAUUGGUACGGAAUCGGGUCGACGAGUCGUGCGAAUUUUGUAAAAAAAGCCGU
Megalopta genalis is the source of this 4231-nucleotide RNA transcript. It is a transcript of the gene named MAM and LDL-receptor class A domain-containing protein 1, with no coding region annotated. NCBI's taxonomy places the organism in Eukaryota, Metazoa, Arthropoda, Insecta, Hymenoptera, Halictidae. The record is from RefSeq and is a predicted model, not a curated record.